RNAcentral lists this ribosomal RNA (329 nucleotides) under uncultured eukaryote. RNAcentral's name for it is "partial 18S ribosomal RNA". It matches the Rfam family "Eukaryotic small subunit ribosomal RNA", at positions 1470 to 1796 of the family's 1831-position model. The record is from RNAcentral.
CCCUUAGAUGUUCUGGGCCGCACGCGCGCUACACUGACGAUGGCAACGAGUUUUUCCUUCGCCGAAAGGUGUGGGUAAUCUUUUGAAACAUCGUCGUGCUGGGGAUAGAUCAUUGCAAUUUUUGAUCUUGAACGAGGAAUUCCUAGUAAGCGCGAGUCAUCAGCUCGCGUUGAUUACGUCCCUGCCCUUUGUACUCACCGCCCGUCGCUACUACCGAUUGAAUGGUUUAGUGAGGACUCCUGAUUGGCGCCGCCGCCCCGGCAACGGAGCAGCGGACUGCCGAAAAGUUGUUCAAACUUGAUCAUUUAGAGGAAGUAAAAGUCGUAACA